CCAAUAGCGUAUAUUAAAGUUGUUGCAGUUAAAAAGCUCGUAGUUGGAUUUCUGGUAGGAGCGACCGUGCCGAACUUGAUUGUUCGAGUAUUGUGUUGUCUUCAGCCAUCCUCGUGGAGAACUUUUCUAACAUUAACUUGUUGGGAUUGGGACCCGCGUCGUUUACUGUGAAAAAAUUAGAGUGUUUAAAGCAGGCAUUAGCUUGAAUACAUUAGCAUGGAAUAAUAAGAUAGGACUUUGGUACUAUUUUGUUGGUUUGCAUACCAAAUUAAUGAUCAACAGGAACAGUUUGAGGAUAUUCGUAUGAACAUGUCAGAGGUGAAAUUCUUGGAUUUUGAUCAGACGAACUACUGCGAAAGCAUUUAUCAAGGAUGUUUUCAUUAA
This 384-nucleotide ribosomal RNA is filed under the name uncultured eukaryote. RNAcentral's name for it is "partial 18S ribosomal RNA". It matches the Rfam family "Eukaryotic small subunit ribosomal RNA", at positions 591 to 976 of the family's 1831-position model. The record is from RNAcentral.